This 250-nucleotide ribosomal RNA is filed under the name uncultured prokaryote. RNAcentral describes it as "partial 16S ribosomal RNA". It matches the Rfam family "Bacterial small subunit ribosomal RNA", at positions 524 to 773 of the family's 1533-position model. The record is from RNAcentral.
UACGUAGGUGGCAAGCGUUGUCCGGAAUUACUGGGUGUAAAGGGAGCGCAGGCGGGGGAGCAAGUCAGCUGUGAAAUCUAUGGGCUUAACCCGUAAAUUGCAGUUGAAACUGUUUCUCUUGAGUGAAGUAGAGGUAGGCGGAAUUCCGAGUGUAGCGGUGAAAUGCGUAGAUAUUCGGAGGAACACCAGUGGCGAAGGCGGCCUACUGGGCUUUAACUGACGCUGAGGCUCGAAAGUGUGGGGAGCAAAC